UCAGGCUCCCAUCGAAGCCGUUCAUGCUUUGUGUAGCAGUGAGCGGUCAAAAGGAAGCCGAAAUGAAGACUUUCACCGACGGUCGCUGUUCAGUUUAAAGUAACUGUUUCAGCAACAUUUAGGGAAAGGACAUUU
Molecule: small nucleolar RNA, 135 nt
Organism: Nematolebias whitei (Rio pearlfish)
Lineage: Eukaryota; Metazoa; Chordata; Actinopteri; Cyprinodontiformes; Rivulidae
Source: RefSeq, a predicted model, not a curated record